AACGAACGCUGGCGGCAUGCCUAACACAUGCAAGUCGAACGAGACCUUCGGGUUUAGUGGCGCACGGGUGCGUAACGCGUGGGAACCUGCCCUUAGGUUCGGAAUAACUCCCCGAAAGGGGUGCUAAUACCGGAUAAUGUCUUCGGACCAAAGAUUUAUCGCCUUUGGAUGGGCCCGCGUUGGAUUAGCUAGUUGGUAGGGUAAAAGCCUACCAAGGCGACGAUCCAUAGCUGGUCUGAGAGGAUGAGCAGCCACACUGGGACUGGGACACGGCCCAGACUCCUACGGGAGGCAGCAGUGGGGAAUAUUGGACAAUGGGCGAAAGCCUGAACCAGCAAUGCCGCGUGAGUGAUGAAGGCCUUAGGGUUGUAAAGCUCUUUUACCCGGGAUGAUAAUGACAGUACCGGGAGAAUAAGCUCCGGCUAACUCCGUG
This 433-nucleotide ribosomal RNA is filed under the name uncultured bacterium. Its description in RNAcentral is "partial 16S ribosomal RNA". It matches the Rfam family "Bacterial small subunit ribosomal RNA", at positions 29 to 507 of the family's 1533-position model. The record is from RNAcentral.